CUAUAAAAUGGCAAAAUUUUGUUCCAAUUUUAUAAAUUCAAAUU
RNAcentral lists this unclassified non-coding RNA (44 nucleotides) under Drepanolejeunea yunnanensis. Its description in RNAcentral is "trnL-trnF intergenic spacer". The record is from RNAcentral. Lineage: Eukaryota; Viridiplantae; Streptophyta; Jungermanniopsida; Porellales; Lejeuneaceae.